This 439-nucleotide ribosomal RNA is filed under the name Sphaerospora truttae. Its description in RNAcentral is "partial 18S ribosomal RNA". It matches the Rfam family "Eukaryotic small subunit ribosomal RNA", at positions 1361 to 1622 of the family's 1831-position model. The record is from RNAcentral. Lineage: Eukaryota; Metazoa; Cnidaria; Myxozoa; Bivalvulida; Sphaerosporidae.
CGCCCAUUGGUCCAUGCGGGGGAUAUUUGACAUUGGUUCACGUGGCUCACCUACGCGUAUUCCCGGCCUAUGGUUUCGCUAUGCAAUUCAGACCGAUUGUACCGGUGUGAUGUCGCACACCCUGUGGUUGUACUGUUGGCUGUGCGGAAGGUCUAGUAUUCUGGGGCGAAAUUUGGCUCUGACAAUGUUACAUAGGAUGGGUUCUGUGGGUCCGGUCUGUGUUCGUGCGCCUUCAUAGAGGGACUACCGGUGGCAAACCGGGGGAAGUACGGCAAUAGCAGGUCAGUGAUGCCCUUAGAUGUUCUGGGCUGCACGCGCGCUACAAUGGUAACGACAGUGAGUUUCUGCGCCGAAAGGUGCGGGUAAUCUUUUCAAUCGUUAUCGUGCUGGGGAUUGGGCCUUGAAAUUAUUGUUCAUGAACCUGGAAUUCCUCGUAAGU